ACGAAAGGAAGGAAAACGGGAAAAAUGGGAAAAAGGAAAAAAAGGGAAAAAGAAAUUCCAUUGCUAAAAGUUUAUUAUUAUCAUCACUUUCUAUUUAUUUAUUUAUUUAUGUACUUCUUU
RNAcentral lists this non-coding RNA (120 nucleotides) under Polytomella parva. Lineage: Eukaryota; Viridiplantae; Chlorophyta; Chlorophyceae; Chlamydomonadales; Chlamydomonadaceae. The record is from RNAcentral.